This 466-nucleotide ribosomal RNA is filed under the name uncultured bacterium. RNAcentral describes it as "SSU rRNA". It matches the Rfam family "Bacterial small subunit ribosomal RNA", at positions 26 to 518 of the family's 1533-position model. The record is from RNAcentral.
AGGACAAACGCUGGCGGCGUGCCUAAGACAUGCAAGUCGGACGGGGGGCUUCGGCUCCUAGUGGCGGACGGGUGAGGAACGCGUGGAGAACCUGCCCCGGGGUGGGGGAUACCCGCCAGAAAUGGCGGUUAAGACCGCAUACGACGGCCCCGUGCAGGCGGGGUUGGGAAAGCAGCGAUGUGCCCUGGGAGGGCUCCGCGUCGGAUUAGCUGGUUGGUGGGGUAACGGCCUACCAAGGCGACGAUCCGUAGCUGGUCUGAGAGGACGGCCAGCCACACUGGGACUGAGACACGGCCCAGACUCCUACGGGAGGCAGCAGUUAGGGAAUUUUGACAAUGGGCGCAAGCCUGAUCGAGUGACGCCGCGUGCGGGAUGACGCCUUUCGGGGUGUAAACCGCUUUUCCCAGGGACGAGGAUGGACGGUACCUGGGGAAGAAGUCUCGGCUAACUACGUGCCAGCAGCCGC